GGGGAACCAGGACUUUUACUUUGAAAAAAUUAGAGUGUUCAAAGCAGGCCUUUGCUCGAAUACAUUAGCAUGGAAUAAUGGAAUAGGACGGCGCUCCUAUUUUGUUGGUUUCUAGGAGAGCCGUAAUGAUUAAUAGGGACAGUUGGGGGCAUCCGUAUUCAGUUGUCAGAGGUGAAAUUCUUGGAUUUACUGAAGACGAACUACUGCGAAAGCAUUUGCCAAAGAUGUUUUCAUUAAUCAGUGAACGAAAGUUAGGGGAUCGAAGACGAUCAGAUACCGUCGUAGUCUUAACCAUAAACCAUGCCGACUAGGGAUCGGGCGAUGUUAGUUUAUUGACUCGCUCGGCACCUUUCGAGAAAUCAAAGUGUUUGGGUUCUGGGGGGAGUAUGGUCGCAAGGCUGAAACUUAAAGAAAUUGACGGAAGGGCACCACCAGGAGUGGAGCCUGCGGCUUAAUUUGACUCAACACGGGGAAACUCACCAGGUCCAGAUACACGUAGGAUUGACAGAUUGAGAGCUCUUUCUUGAUUGUGUAGUUGGUGGUGCAUGGCCGUUCUUAGUUGGUGGAGUGAUUUGUCUGCUUAAUUGCGAUAACGAACGAGACCU
RNAcentral lists this ribosomal RNA (605 nucleotides) under uncultured Chaetothyriomycetidae. Its description in RNAcentral is "SSU rRNA". It matches the Rfam family "Eukaryotic small subunit ribosomal RNA", at positions 737 to 1343 of the family's 1831-position model. Lineage: Eukaryota; Fungi; Ascomycota; Eurotiomycetes. The record is from RNAcentral.